RNAcentral lists this ribosomal RNA (579 nucleotides) under Triticum aestivum (bread wheat). RNAcentral's name for it is "partial small subunit ribosomal RNA". The record is from RNAcentral. Lineage: Eukaryota; Viridiplantae; Streptophyta; Magnoliopsida; Poales; Poaceae.
GCUCUUCGUCUUACCACACAUCAUGUCUUUCGUCUCCGCUACGAGCCACCGGGCGGCCGCCGCCGGCAUUUUGUUUCUGGCCGCUGCCAUGCAUCAACACGUCGCAGGACCGCACCCGCUGCUGCCGUCCACCACGUCGUCGGAGGCGACCCGGGCUGGGCCGUGGCCUCCGACGUCCUUGCCUGGUCGGCGGGCAGGCUCUUCACGGUCGGGGACACACUCUGGUUUGCGUAUGAGGCGGCGGAGGUCGCCGGCGAGGCGGAGUUCGAGCCGUGCGAGGCCGGCGACCCCAUCAGAACGUACACGGACGGGCUCAGCAGGGUUAGGGUAGGCCUCGACGACGAAGGCACGAGGUAUUUCCUCAGCGCAGACCCCGCCAAGUGCAAGGGCGGGCUGAAGCUGCGGGUCGACGUGCGGGCUACAGUGUCGGUGUCGCCGCGGUCGGUGGACCGAGCUGCCGCAGCGGCGCCCGCGCCGCCCGCGCCGCCCGCGUCGAGUGGCACCCAAGCUGUGGUACCGCUGGUGCGCCGUGCGUUGUGUCUGGUCUCCGUGUGGUGCUUUCUGUUCCUGGGUGCAUGA